This 385-nucleotide ribosomal RNA is filed under the name uncultured bacterium. RNAcentral's name for it is "bacterial SSU rRNA". It matches the Rfam family "Bacterial small subunit ribosomal RNA", at positions 30 to 416 of the family's 1533-position model. The record is from RNAcentral.
AUUGAACGCUGGCGGCAUGCCUUACACAUGCAAGUCGAACGGCAGCGGGCCUUCGGGUGCCGGCGAGUGGCGAACGGGUGAGUAAUGCAUCGGAACGUGCCAUUGAGUGGGGGAUAACGUAGCGAAAGUUGCGCUAAUACCGCAUAUUCUGUGAGCAGGAAAGCAGGGGACCGCAAGGCCUUGCGCUCUUUGAGCGGCCGAUGUCAGAUUAGCUAGUUGGUGAGGUAAAGGCUUACCAAGGCGACGAUCUGUAGCGGGUCUGAGAGGAUGAUCCGCCACACUGGAACUGAGACACGGUCCAGACUCCUACGGGAGGCAGCAGUGGGGAAUUUUGGACAAUGGGGGCGAACCCUGAUCCAGCCAUGCCGCGUGAGUGAAGAAGGCC